RNAcentral lists this ribosomal RNA (171 nucleotides) under Saccharomycetales sp. RNAcentral describes it as "partial small subunit ribosomal RNA". It matches the Rfam family "Eukaryotic small subunit ribosomal RNA", at positions 1352 to 1544 of the family's 1831-position model. The record is from RNAcentral. Lineage: Eukaryota; Fungi; Ascomycota; Saccharomycetes; Saccharomycetales.
UAAAUAGUGCUGCUAGCUUUUGCUGGUAUAGUCACUUCUUAGAGGGACUAUCGAUUUCAAGUCGAUGGAAGUUUGAGGCAAUAACAGGUCUGUGAUGCCCUUAGACGUUCUGGGCCGCACGCGCGCUACACUGACGGAGCCAGCGAGUAUUAACCUUGGCCGAGAGGUCUG